UGUGGGUAGGGAGGCCUUUGGGGCUAUCCACGAUACGCACCUGCCGCGAGGGUUGGCGAUUGUGAGAGAGAAAGAAAAGUAGAAGGAAAAGGUUGGGCGAGCGACGAAAAAAAGGUAAAGUGAUUGGUCGCACGAUUCCUCUCCCCACACGCAUCCUCCUCCAUCUCUCACAUCCCAGCUGCGGCGGCGGCUCCCCAUGCCCUCAUCUUCUUCCUCUCGUCCUCUCCGGCCGGUUCAUGGCCGCCUCCACCACUACGGCUUCAUCUACGUCGCCAGCCCAUGGUGGAAGCAGGCGGAGGCAAAUCAACCGCAGAGGCUUGACGGCCAGAGCGAUGGCGGCCGGCGUGGCCCUGGAAGGUCGGGCGAUGUCGCCAUAUUGGCCGUCUCGAAGGCCAGGAUGCGCUGCCACUCAGCUCUCUCCCCCAACAGAUCGAAGGUCGAAGCGCCGUGCAUCACGGCGGCAGUUUGGACUGAGGUACGUGAUUUCCAUUUUUCUCGUUGUAUUUUCUCCAUCUAAAUACAAAUAUAUGCCCCACGCUGAUAGUUUGUGAUCCGGCCUCCUGUUUAUUGGUUACUGUGUGGAACAAUCAUACUGUCAUGUUGCCCUUUGCUAUUUGGCAUUUGUUGUUGUUGAUUUACAGAAUGCAGGUGCGGGGUAUUCUCUGCCCACUUCCAAUCAUGCUCCCUUUGCAACUUCUUUAUUUCUUGGGAUUGGACAAUGCACUCUAUGUCUUGAUGAAUUGGUCACUUGCCACGGCUUCAGUUAUAGCAUAAGGAUUUUCCUUGGGAAUUAUGGAGCUAAUUCAGUGACAAGAAAGCAACUAUGAAGUACAUCAGAUAGAUGUUCAGAAAACUAUUCUAAAUGGUUUGGUCAAAAUCAAGGAUCUGGAUCAUCUAGCUAUACUGAAAGGCUAUCUUUGUGAUAUAUAUUUUUUCCUUUCGAAUUAUAGAGGCUUCCUAAUGUUUUUUUUGUAUGCAUCAGAGUGAUGAAUCGACUUGACAUCAAUCAUCUUUCGAGUUUUGGAAGGGAGCAAUUUUGGCACUAUAUCCUAACCUGAAGUGGUGCUUAUGAGAAUUUGACUUGAAAAACACACUACCGUAUACCAGAUCACAUAAAGAUGUUACAAAAUCGAAUUUUGAGGACAACCGUCAGUGAGCUUAAGGACGUUGCCUUAUUCGCUCCUUAUGUAUGUGUAUAACUUGGUCCCUUUAUGUUACUUGUUGUCACGUGUUGAAGCCCAAGAUUCAUUUUUCGCUAUGUGUUUUGCCCUUAUAUUUUCAUGCUAUGUGAUUUGCCAAUUGACACGUGCUCUCAUGACCACCAAUAGACCCAACACUGCAAAGAGGGCAUUUUCUCUGAGAGAUCAAAGGAACGCUGAGCUCAAAUGUGUGCUUUGGAGACAAAGAGCUGCUGAAUUCAAUGGUAAUGGCUAGAGCUCUGCUGUUGUUGGGAUCUUUUUUGGUGUCCUUAUAAAAUAUUAUAACAGUGGGUUUGUUUUUUAACAUUUGAUGCAUUGCCUUCUCAAUACAUAUAUCCAGUUCUGGUUUUAGUGAGCACCUGAAGCCUGAAGGUAUCAAGAAAAAAAAAUAUCCUUAUUACAUUGAACUCUAAUGUACCGUGUAGAUGAUGAGACACUUAGGGGUGGUUCUGAUGAAAACUUGCCUAAUAUUGACUCUUGCUUUGAAAGGUAGGUCCAUGUUAUGUGUACAUUCCAUUAUGCAUUCAUUUUUUACGUUGGUUGAUGGUGUUACCCAUUCACCCAUAUGCGGGCUCUUUCUAUGUCUUUGCGACAGUUCAUGUGUGUUCUAGAGGAAGAAGAUGGAGUUCUAUAAUUCUAUAGAAGAAUUGGGCUUAAAUCUCACUGUUCAAACAGUGCCAGGAGUACAUAGAUUUCAGCAGAGAAGAACUGGGUUAGCUUGUAUUUAGGUAAGUAGAUUAGAUAUGCCAAAAUUAAGAAAAUUGAAGACGGUUGGCUACAGGCUUGCACUUUCAAAUUUGAGUGGAUACUUGGUUGUUAAAAACUCAACAUGUCGCUUACUGAACUGCCGCAUGCACCUAAAUUUUAUCAUACCACACAUCUCCUUUCUUUUUCCUGCUCUGUAAUUUGUUUUGUUGCUCUUGUGUAAAUUUUCAGCUGAUGCCAUCCAAUAUUUUGCAAAGGAUGUUAAUAUUAUCACAAAACCUUCAGUAUUGAAGCUAGCAAGUUGACAUCAGCAAUCAAUCAAGUUAUCGCUCAACUACCUGACAGUACAAUAUGAGGUGAAGCUGGUCUCUCUAUAUAUAUACCUCUUCUGUUUCAAUUGCAGGUCGGGGUAGCAUGGGCCGUUGAGAGGAAGGUUAGAUACGAAAGGGGAGAGGAGAUGACAAAGUUUGCAAAGAGAAGAAAUGCUAUCUAGGCACAACUCGGAGGAGAGAGGCAGGCCAUGUCUUGCACGUGUUACCAUGAUGCAACUGUUAAGAUUGGGACGGGAUUGAGCCGGGAUUGAGCCGCAACUGUACGGUAAGGAGGCGCCCCAUGGGGCGCCCCAACCACUAGAUUUGCUCCGGCCCCGAUGGAGUGAGUCGCAUGGGUUGGUAGCUGAUGUCGAGAACAAUGGCGGCAUAGGUCUGGAUGGCGCGUGCAUGCAUGGCGCCUUGGCGCGUUGUCGGGGACGUGUGCGCGGAGUCGACGGCAUGGUGAUGCGGCCGAUGCUGCUGCUGGUUGUGGGUGAUUUUUUUUCGCUGCUGGCAGGGGCGGAGCUAGAACUAUUCAUGGAUAUUCAAUGAAUACUCAAUAUUUUUUGUAAUUUUUUUAGUAUAUAAGCUCCUAUAUGCAUUUAUAUACAUAUAGCACACGAGCCCGUGCGUUGCAUCGGGAGAUUUUAAAACCAAAAUUUAGAUGUGAAAUGUUGAUGCUACCAAAAUUUUACCCAAACUU
This is a long non-coding RNA of Lolium perenne, 2918 nucleotides long. RefSeq lists it as uncharacterized. The record is from RefSeq and is a predicted model, not a curated record. NCBI's taxonomy places the organism in Eukaryota, Viridiplantae, Streptophyta, Magnoliopsida, Poales, Poaceae.